UUAGAGUUGGAUCUGGCUCAGAACGAACGCUGGCGGCAUGCCUAAUACAUGCAAGUCGAACGAGAUCUUCGGAUCUAGUGGCGCACGGGUGCGUAACGCGUGGGAAUCUGCCCUUGGGUUCGGAAUAACUUCUGGAAACGGAAGCUAAUACCGGAUGAUGACGUAAGUCCAAAGAUUUAUCGCCCAAGGAUGAGCCCGCGUAGGAUUAGCUAGUUGGUGGGGUAAAGGCCCACCAAGGCGACGAUCCUUAGCUGGUCUGAGAGGAUGAUCAGCCACACUGGGACUGAGACACGGCCCAGACUCCUACGGGAGGCAGCAGUAGGGAAUAUUGGACAAUGGGGGAAACCCUGAUCCAGCAAUGCCGCGUGAGUGAUGAAGGCCUUAGGGUUGUAAAGCUCUUUUACCCGGGAUGAUAAUGACAGUACCGGGAGAAUAAGCUCCGGCUAACUCCGUGCCAGCAGCCGCGGUAAUACGGAGGGAGCUAGCGUUGUUCGGAAUUACUGGGCGUAAAGCGCACGUAGGCGGCUAUUCAAGUCAGAGGUGAAAGCCCGGGGCUCAACCCCGGAACUGCCUUUGAAACUAGAUAGCUUGAAUCCAGGAGAGGUGAGUGGAAUUCCGAGUGUAGAGGUGAAAUUCGUAGAUAUUCGGAAGAACACCAGUGGCGAAGGCGGCUCACUGGACUGUAUGACGCGAGUGAAGAGUGCCAAA
This 708-nucleotide ribosomal RNA is filed under the name Sphingomonas sp. KUSC2. RNAcentral describes it as "bacterial SSU rRNA". It matches the Rfam family "Bacterial small subunit ribosomal RNA", at positions 1 to 758 of the family's 1533-position model. Lineage: Bacteria; Pseudomonadati; Pseudomonadota; Alphaproteobacteria; Sphingomonadales; Sphingomonadaceae. The record is from RNAcentral.